RNAcentral lists this ribosomal RNA (874 nucleotides) under uncultured bacterium. RNAcentral describes it as "bacterial SSU rRNA". It matches the Rfam family "Bacterial small subunit ribosomal RNA", at positions 99 to 975 of the family's 1533-position model. The record is from RNAcentral.
CGGACGGGUGAGUAACGCAUAGGAAUUUACCCGAUAGUGGGGGAUAACCUGGGGAAACUCAGGCUAAUACCGCAUACGUCCUACGGGAGAAAGGGGGCUUUGGCUCCCGCUAUCGGAUGAGCCUAUGCCGGAUUAGCUGGUUGGUGAGGUAAUGGCUCACCAAGGCGACGAUCCGUAGCUGGUCUGAGAGGAUGAUCAGCCACAUCGGGACUGAGACACGGCCCGAACUCCUACGGGAGGCAGCAGUGGGGAAUAUUGGACAAUGGGGGCAACCCUGAUCCAGCCAUGCCGCGUGUGUGAAGAAGGCCCUCGGGUUGUAAAGCACUUUCAGCGAGGAAGAACGCCUGGCGGUUAAUACCCGCCAGGAAAGACAUCACUCGCAGAAGAAGCACCGGCUAACUCCGUGCCAGCAGCCGCGGUAAUACGGAGGGUGCAAGCGUUAAUCGGAAUUACUGGGCGUAAAGCGCGCGUAGGUGGCUUGAUAAGCCGGUUGUGAAAGCCCCGGGCUCAACCUGGGAACGGCAUCCGGAACUGUCAGGCUAGAGUGCAGGAGAGGAAGGUAGAAUUCCCGGUGUAGCGGUGAAAUGCGUAGAGAUCGGGAGGAAUACCAGUGGCGAAGGCGGCCUUCUGGACUGACACUGACACUGAGGUGCGAAAGCGUGGGUAGCAAACAGGAUUAGAUACCCUGGUAGUCCACGCCGUAAACGAUGUCGACCAGCCGUUGGGUGCCUCGCGCACUUUGUGGCGAAGUUAACGCGAUAAGUCGACCGCCUGGGGAGUACGGCCGCAAGGUUAAAACUCAAAUGAAUUGACGGGGGCCCGCACAAGCGGUGGAGCAUGUGGUUUAAUUCGAUGCAACGCGAAGAACCUUACC